Molecule: transfer RNA, 148 nt
Filed under: Myxococcales bacterium
Lineage: Bacteria; Pseudomonadati; Myxococcota; Myxococcia; Myxococcales
Description: tRNA-Ser
Rfam family: tRNA
About the family: Transfer RNA (tRNA) molecules are approximately 80 nucleotides in length. Their secondary structure includes four short double-helical elements and three loops (D, anti-codon, and T loops).
Source: RNAcentral
GGCGGGCUGGCGUAAUUGGUAAACGCAAGCGAUUUGAAAACGCUCGUUCGUAGCACAACGGGUUCGGGUGGGGCGCGGCCUUCGGGGUCAGUGCCCAUGUGAUUCGGUCCUUCACGUAGAACUCCAGGUUCGAGUCCUGGGCCCGCCG